This 254-nucleotide ribosomal RNA is filed under the name uncultured bacterium. RNAcentral describes it as "partial 16S ribosomal RNA". It matches the Rfam family "Bacterial small subunit ribosomal RNA", at positions 524 to 776 of the family's 1533-position model. The record is from RNAcentral.
UACGUAGGGCGCGAGCGUUGUCCGGAUUUAUUGGGCGUAAAGAGCUCGUAGGCGGCUUGUCGCGUCGUCCGUGAAAACUUGGGGCUCAACCCCAAGCUUGCGGUCGAUACGGGCAGGCUAGAGUUCGGUAGGGGAGACUGGAAUUCCUGGUGUGAGCGGUGAAUGACGCAGAUAUCAGGAGGAACACCGGUGGCGAAGGCGGGUCUCUGGGCCGAUACUGACGCUGAGGAGCGAAAGCGUGGGGAGCGAACAGG